GGCAGCUCCCUGGGUGAUAUCCGUCCACGUCCGUAGAGUCGGGGCACCGUGACUUGAGACCACGGACACCCUCUCUCCCACCGCGGGCGGGCGUCUGUGGGAGGCGAGUGAUUCUCUUCGAGGUCACCUUAUCACGAACCCCUGCUUCCGAUGAAUUUUUACUUUUCUGACCAUUCUGCGCUCCUUUAGUGUCUUUUAAGAAAGAGCCGGAGGGGAGACGUCCUGGCGAAGGCCGCUUAGCCCCACACCUGAUGCAGGAGAGAGAAGGUGCGAGCGGACUGAGAAGGAACAGAUCGGCUUCCAGAUAAAUAAGCAAAGGCAGCCUGCACGGAGAGGGCUGCUUAGAGACCGCUCGCGACUUGCGCUAACUUUCAAGUUACUGAGAUUGUGUGAGCCAAGCGCAGACGGCGGAAGGGCUGCGAGGACCUGAGCCCGGCAUGUGGCCUCGCAGAUGGAGCCAAUAUCGAGGCCACUUCUCUUCUCUGGCUGACGGAUCGCUUCUUCCCAACCGAAAACCGUCGCCGAGAUAGAGGCUUGGGCCUCGCGCCUUGCUCCGGGGCCGCCGAAGCCCUGACAGCGCCCCUGGCCGGAGAGGAGAGGUCGCCAGGAGCCUGGCCCGCACGUCGCCUCGCCGGGCCGGGCAGGAAAAGGACGUCUCGGAGGUGGCAGCACGCGGAGCUGGACUCCAGACGAGCUCGCUCCAGCCCAUUUCAACCCUCGGCUCCGGCUCCUGCGCCCUGAGGUGGGCUGCUAAUCACUGCCGGGCGCUUGCGACCCGCGAGCCGGCCUGGGGCCAAGCGAUUUUCCCUGUUUUUCCCGAAGGUUGUUACCGGCCUCCCACUUGACUUGGGCCUGAGACAGAGGACUGACGCGGGUGCGGUGCGCAGGGAGCUUUCCCCGCCGGAUCCUAAACGUGAUGUGUGCUGAACGUGCACGGGGCGCUAGGUGCAGCCACAAACUUGUGGGCUGAAGUUGAAAACCUCUCUCUCUCUCUCUCUCUCUCUCUCUCUCUCUCUCUCUCUCCUUUCGCCCUCUUUUCCUUCCUUGGCCUCCUCCCACUUAAACUGCAAGCUGGGCAGAUGGUUUUAAGGUGUACAGGGUAAAUGUCCCUUACUCCUACCACUUUUAUUUGUGGAUAGAUACUAACUUCUAUGUUAGCUUACAGAUACUUAAGGAAAAAAUAAUAGGCCGGGGACGGUGGUUUGGAUCCAUUCUCACAACCCCAACUCCCCCCUUAACACACCCCGCUUACCUCGAAAGGGACCCAACCAAUAGAAGCAUUAUUAUUCCACACUGCAGCUCAUGGGCAUGUUGGGAGCCAUUUCAGUUCCCAGCCUAAACUGUCACGUCCCCAUUAGAACACUGGAUACACUAGCCUAGCGAUCGCUGGAGGCAUGAGUGUGAGGGUGAGCAUUUGCACGGUGGAGGGAGGGGUGUCUGGGGGCGGGAAAGGGCCUGCAGAGGGCUGGUGAUGCUCCUGAAAGCCUUUCUUAUUGCUGACACCAACCUGGUUGACCUUAUUAUUCCUCCUCCUCUUCCUCCUCCUCUUCUUAACGUUUGAAUUCCGUGCCUAAAGUUUCCCACAGAGUAUACACUGUGACAUACUAACACCGCUGUUCUGAUUCAAAGAGGAGACUUCCUAUCUCUUCACAGUUUGAUGAACCUGAAGCUGAAAUUGUAAAUGUCCUAGAAAGGCGUGGUGUCCCCCCCCCCCCCGUCGCAGAAGAUGGUGGUAAUAGCCAGCCAGCCUGGGGUUCUAGCAACGAACCUCAUAAAUACUCUUGUCACAACACACGAUUCAACCUUUGAUCUGACUAAAUGUGAGGGACGCAGGAAAACUGCUGGUCCCCGUUCAACCUAAAAAACAUGCAUCUACUGGAGUAGGCAUGAAAGUUUCUACUUCCCAGCUCCUGCGAGCCCUAGCUUUUAUAGGAUCUUUAAGUGAUAAACUCGCCUGCUUUAUUAAAAGCCGUUUACUGUCCCCAGCGAAAGGCAUCUUCUCUCUGUGGCUGGAGGCUCUCUCUUCAGCGUCUGUUACCUUGCAAAGCCCAGAGCUGCCUUAUCUAGAGAACCCGUGCUGGGUAUUUCUCAUCUCAGAAAGUCAAGCCAAAAUGAACUUUCUUCGGUUUCAAGUUGGAGUCUGAGAUUCUAGCGUUUGAUAUGUCUUGCCUAAUAAACUUUAAACUUUGUUA
Heterocephalus glaber (naked mole-rat) is the source of this 2192-nucleotide non-coding RNA. The record is from RefSeq and is a predicted model, not a curated record. Lineage: Eukaryota; Metazoa; Chordata; Mammalia; Rodentia; Bathyergidae.